UAGGGAAUCUUCCGCAAUGGACGCAAGUCUGACGGAGCAACGCCGCGUGAGUGAAGAAGGAUUUCGGUUCGUAAAACUCUGUUGUUAGAGAAGAACAGCGCAUAGAGUAACUGUUAUGCGUGUGACGGUAUCUAACCAGAAAGCCACGGCUAACUACGUGCCAGCAGCCGCGGUAAUACGUAAGGGGCGAGCGUUGUCCGGAAUUAUUGGGCGUAAAGAGUGCGUAGGCGGCAAAUUAAGUCAGAUGUGAAAACUAAGGGCUCAACCCCUAGAUUGCAUCUGAAACUGAUAUGCUUGAGUCAAGGAGAGGAAAGUGGAAUUCCUAGUGUAGCGGUGGAAUGCGUAGAUAUUAGGAGGAAUACCGGUGGCGAAGGCGACUUUCUGGACUUGAACUGACGCUGAGGCACGAAAGCGUGGGGAGCAAACAGG
Molecule: ribosomal RNA, 429 nt
Filed under: Bacteroidota bacterium
Lineage: Bacteria; Pseudomonadati; Bacteroidota
Description: Bacteroidetes bacterium partial 16S ribosomal RNA
Rfam family: Bacterial small subunit ribosomal RNA
Source: RNAcentral